This 388-nucleotide ribosomal RNA is filed under the name uncultured bacterium. RNAcentral describes it as "bacterial SSU rRNA". It matches the Rfam family "Bacterial small subunit ribosomal RNA", at positions 28 to 417 of the family's 1533-position model. The record is from RNAcentral.
GACGAACGCUGGCGGCGUGCUUAACACAUGCAAGUCGAGCGGUAAGGCCCUUUCGGGGGUACACGAGCGGCGAACGGGUGAGUAACACGUGGGUGACCUGCCCUCAGCUCUGGGAUAAGCCUGGGAAACCGGGUCUAAUACCGGAUAUGACUCCAUGACGCAUGUUGUGGGGUGGAAAGCCUUGUGCGGCUGAGGAUGGGCCCGCGGCCUAUCAGCUUGUUGGUGGGGUGANGGCCUACCAAGGCGACGACGGGUAGCCGGCCUGAGAGGGCGACCGGCCACACUGGGACUGAGACACGGCCCAGACUCCUACGGGAGGCAGCAGUGGGGAAUCUUGCGCAAUGGGCGAAAGCCUGACGUAGCGACGCCGCGUGAGGGAUGACGGCCU